GUGUGUGUCUUUCCUAGCAGGCAAAGAAACAGACAGCACAAACUAAGCUUGACCUUGUUGGAAAUACAGUUUAUCCACAGAGUGAAUGUUGGCUAAAAUGUAAUCUUAUGACAUCAGGAAUGUUCAAAGUUUACACAGGAGGGCCACUGUCAUAAGGAUGCCUGGAAGAGUGAAGAAAGGCCUGAUUGAUCACAAGGUCCUAUCAAAUGUCAAAGCUGGCCCUGGCUGACCUCCCAUCUAUUCAGAGCUGCUUUGAUUUAAUCUCCAAACUGGCUGCUUCUCCAGGCUGUGAGUUCUAUCUGCAACCCAUGUGUCAGCAUUGAGAUAUGACCUGCUUCACGCUCCAUUCAUCUCAUUUGAAGGACGGAAAUUAAACUCGAGGGUCGAAGAGGGGAACUGCUCAAAAUACACACACACAUUAACUGAAGCCUUUUGUAGAAGAGAAUUGAAAAUUCCAAUAAGGCAAAGGUGAUGGAAGUGUCUUCAUGAGACCCUUGGGUAACAUAAAUUGGCAAAGAAUUGGAUGACCUGGGUUCUAAGAUCUGACCUUAAAACUAGCC
Molecule: long non-coding RNA, 560 nt
Filed under: Pongo abelii (Sumatran orangutan)
Lineage: Eukaryota; Metazoa; Chordata; Mammalia; Primates; Hominidae
Description: lincRNA
Source: RNAcentral